CAAGCAAGCCACUUUGUCGCUGCGAAUUUAUUCGGAGAGGAAAGUCCGGACACCAGAGAGUAAGCAUAGCGGGUAAUGCCCGUCACUUCUUCGGAAGGAGGACAAGUGCAACAGAAAGUAUGUACAGUUCGGCUGUAGUGAAACCAGGUAAACUCUAUGCGGUGCAAUGCCAUGUAUACCAGCAGUUAAGGGCUACUCGUCCGUUGCUGGGGGGUAGGCAGAUGGAGACCUUGGGUAACUAAGGUCCUAGAUAAAUGACAAAGCAUUACUUUUGUAAUGACAGAAUCCGGCUUAUCGGCUUGCUUUUUUA
This 310-nucleotide RNase P RNA is filed under the name Algoriella xinjiangensis. Its description in RNAcentral is "Bacterial RNase P class A". It matches the Rfam family "Bacterial RNase P class A". Rfam says of the family: Ribonuclease P (RNase P) is a ubiquitous endoribonuclease, found in archaea, bacteria and eukarya as well as chloroplasts and mitochondria. Its best characterised activity is the generation of mature 5'-ends of tRNAs by cleaving the 5'-leader elements of precursor-tRNAs. Cellular RNase Ps are ribonucleoproteins. Lineage: Bacteria; Pseudomonadati; Bacteroidota; Flavobacteriia; Flavobacteriales; Weeksellaceae. RNAcentral also lists the same sequence under 1 other name. The record is from RNAcentral.